This 484-nucleotide ribosomal RNA is filed under the name uncultured bacterium. Its description in RNAcentral is "partial 16S ribosomal RNA". It matches the Rfam family "Bacterial small subunit ribosomal RNA", at positions 30 to 507 of the family's 1533-position model. The record is from RNAcentral.
AUUGAACGCUGGCGGCAUGCCUUACACAUGCAAGUCGAACGGUAACAGGUCUUUCGGGAUGCUGACGAGUGACGAACGGGUGAGUAAUACAUCGGAACGUGCCUAGUAGUGGGGGAUAACUACUCGAAAGAGUGGCUAAUACCGCAUGAGAUCUAUGGAUGAAAGCAGCGGACCUUUGGGCCUUGUGCUACUAGAGCGGCCGAUGGCAGAUUAGGUAGUUGGUGGGAUAAAAGCUUACCAAGCCUACGAUCUGUAGCUGGUCUGAGAGGACGAUCAGCCACACUGGGACUGAGACACGGCCCAGACUCCUACGGGAGGCAGCAGUGGGGAAUUUUGGACAAUGGGCGCAAGCCUGAUCCAGCAAUGCCGCGUGCAGGAUGAAGGCCUUCGGGUUGUAAACUGCUUUUGUACGGAACGAAAAGUCUUGGGUUAAUACCCUGGGAUCAUGACGGUACCGUAAGAAUAAGCACCGGCUAACUACGUG